CCUACGGGAGGCAGCAGUGAGGAAUAUUGGUCAAUGGGCGGGAGCCUGAACCAGCCAAGUAGCGGGAGGGAAGACGGUCCGAUGGAGUGUAAACCUCUUUAGGAGGGGAGCAACGCCGGGCACGCGUGCCCGGAGGGAGAGGACCCGCAGAUGAAGCAGCGGCCACCCCCUUGCCAGCAGCCGCGGUAAUACGGAGGAUGCGCGCGUUAUCCGGAUUUAUUGGGUUGAAAGGGUGCGUAGGCGGAUUUUUACGUCAGCGGUAAAAUGUCCGGGCUCAACCCGGGCCGGCCGUUGAAACUGGUGAUCUUGAGUGGGCUAGAGGUAUGCGGAAUGCGUGGUGUAGCGGU
RNAcentral lists this ribosomal RNA (347 nucleotides) under uncultured bacterium. Its description in RNAcentral is "partial 16S ribosomal RNA". It matches the Rfam family "Bacterial small subunit ribosomal RNA", at positions 338 to 682 of the family's 1533-position model. The record is from RNAcentral.